Molecule: ribosomal RNA, 257 nt
Filed under: uncultured bacterium
Lineage: Bacteria
Description: partial 16S ribosomal RNA
Rfam family: Bacterial small subunit ribosomal RNA
Source: RNAcentral
UACGUAGGGUGCAAGCGUUGUCCGGAAUUACUGGGCGUAAAGGGCGCGUAGGCGGAUAGUUUAGUUGGGGGUGAAAGCCCGGGGCUCAACCUCGGAAUUGCCUUCAAUACUGGCUAUCUUGAGUGUGAGAGAGGUGUGUGGAACUCCGAGUGUAGAGGUGAAAUUCGUAGAUAUUCGGAAGAACACCAGUGGCGAAGGCGACACACUGGCUCACUACUGAAGCUGGAGGCGCGAAAAGCGUGGGGGAGCAAAACAGG